CCCCAGCAGUGACACUCUGACUCUUGCGUAGGCAGCACUUGAAAACAUACUCUGCAGGAGAUUAGGAACAUCAGGUCUCCUCAUUUCAGUCUACCCGUUCAUAAGAGCAUGGUUCAACUUCCAUCACAUACUGCCCAAUAUAGGCAACUUCAGAGUGCACCCCAUGGCUACAAAUUCAAAUCCAGCCGCU
This 190-nucleotide long non-coding RNA is filed under the name Sinocyclocheilus anshuiensis. RNAcentral's name for it is "lncRNA (ENSSANG00000010911.1)". The record is from RNAcentral. Lineage: Eukaryota; Metazoa; Chordata; Actinopteri; Cypriniformes; Cyprinidae.